Molecule: ribosomal RNA, 462 nt
Filed under: Neogloboquadrina dutertrei
Lineage: Eukaryota; Foraminifera; Rotaliida; Globorotaliidae
Description: bacterial SSU rRNA
Rfam family: Eukaryotic small subunit ribosomal RNA
Source: RNAcentral
GUGGCUUAAUUUGACUCAACGCGGGAAAUCUUACCGGGUCCGGACACACUGAGGAUUGACAGGCAAUAUCUAAAUCGUUUAUAAUUCUAUAUUAUAAUACGUAUUUAGUGUUAAAUAUGCUAGUCCUUUCAUGAUUAUGUGAUAGGUGGUGCAUGGCCGUUCUUAGUUCGUGGAGUGAUCUGUCUGCUUAAUUGCGUUUCACUAAGGGCCCAUAAAUUCAAGGUAUGUUAGCUAUCGUUUCUCAAUUGACCCCUUGUCUUCGAUAAGCGCGUGUCUUUUAGAGUUUAAACAUUGCGCAUGCUGUUGGGUCCUGAAAGCAACGAACGUGACCGCAACGUCUUAUUGCCUUUAUCUUGCUAUAUUUUAAUUUAAUUAAAAAUAGCUAACAGAGGCUAAUUUAAAAUUAGACGGACCGCUGUACUUUUCUUAAACCAGAGGAAGGUUGCGGCAAUAACAGGUCUG